CCCUUAGAUGUUCUGGGCCGCACGCGUGCUACACUGACCGGCGCAACAAGCUUUUUUCCUUGGCUCGACAGGCCUGGGUAAUCUUCGAACGCCGGUCGUGAUGGGGAUAGAUCCUUGCAAUUUUUGAUCUUCAACGAGGAAUUCCUAGUAAACGCAAGUCAUCAGCUUGCAUUGAUUACGUCCCUGCCCUUUGUACACACCGCCCGUCGCACCUACCGAUUGAAUGGUCCGGUGAAAUCUCGGGACGGCGGCUUGGUCGCUUGCGUCCGACUGCUGAAACUUGAUUAAACCAUAUCAUUUAGAGGAAGGUGAAGUCGUAACA
This 322-nucleotide ribosomal RNA is filed under the name uncultured eukaryote. Its description in RNAcentral is "partial 18S ribosomal RNA". It matches the Rfam family "Eukaryotic small subunit ribosomal RNA", at positions 1470 to 1796 of the family's 1831-position model. The record is from RNAcentral.